GAUGAACGCUGGCGGCGUGCCUAAUACAUGCAAGUCGAGCGAACAGAUGAGGUGCUUGCUCCUCUGACGUUAGCGGCGGACGGGUGAGUAACACGUGGAUAACCUACCUAUAAGACUGGGAUAACUUCGGGAAACCGGAGCUAAUACCGGAUAAUAUAUUGAACCGCAUGGUUCAAUAGUGAAAGACGGUUUUGCUGUCACUUAUAGAUGGAUCCGCGCUGCAUUAGCUAGUUGGUAAGGUAACGGCUUACCAAGGCAACGAUGCGUAGCCGACCUGAGAGGGUGAUCGGCCACACUGGAACUGAGACACGGUCCAGACUCCUACGGGAGGCAGCAGUAGGGAAUCUUCCGCAAUGGGCGAAAGCCUGACGGAGCAACGCCGCGUGAGUGAUGAAGGUCUUCGGAUCGUAAAACUCUGUUAUUAGGGAAGAACAAAUGUGUAAGUAACUGUGCACGUCUUGACGGUACCUAAUCAGAAAGCCACGGCUAACUACGUG
This 497-nucleotide ribosomal RNA is filed under the name uncultured bacterium. Its description in RNAcentral is "partial 16S ribosomal RNA". It matches the Rfam family "Bacterial small subunit ribosomal RNA", at positions 28 to 507 of the family's 1533-position model. The record is from RNAcentral.